CGACAUGUUUGCUAUAUUUAACAUGUAUCAAAGCUCUUAUAAACAAGAUAGGGUAUUCCUACAUAGCUGGUGUGACCCACAGCAAAUUGAUCAUAAAGUCGUCAAAAAAGAAUAGAUACGAUUGCAUUGCAUGUAGUAACGGAUGCGAUCAUACAAGCACUAAUGGACCAGAUCCCAUCAAAACUCCGCAGUUAAGCAUGCUUGGACGAGAGUAGUACUAGGAUGGGUGACCUCCAGGAAAGUCCACGUGUUGCAUACCUCUUUUUUCGGUUUUUCUCUGU
Molecule: ribosomal RNA, 281 nt
Filed under: Arabidopsis thaliana (thale cress)
Lineage: Eukaryota; Viridiplantae; Streptophyta; Magnoliopsida; Brassicales; Brassicaceae
Source: RNAcentral